This is a non-coding RNA of Nephila pilipes (giant wood spider), 831 nucleotides long. The record is from the annotation of a GenBank genome assembly. NCBI's taxonomy places the organism in Eukaryota, Metazoa, Arthropoda, Arachnida, Araneae, Nephilidae.
AACUGGUUGAUCCUGCCAGUAGUGAUAUUCUUGUCUCAAGGAUUUAGCCGUGUAGGUACAAGCCAUCAAUAGAAGCGAAACCGCAGAUGGCGCAUUAAAUUAGUUACGAUUCCCUUGGCGGUUAAGAUUACUUGGAUAACUGUUGUAAUCCUAGAGCUAAAACAUGCACUGGAGCUCCUAUCCUGCGAGGGAGACGAGCGCUUUUAUUAGACCAAGAUCAGCCUGCGGGAUUCAUUUACGUGGCAGCAACUAGUGACUCUAUGGCGGAUCGCACGGGCUCGAAACGGUGACGCGUCUUUUGAGUGUCUGCCUUAUCAAUUGUCGAUGGUAGGUCAUGCUCCUACCAUGGUAGUCGCGGAUGACGGGGAAUCAAAAUUUGAUUCCGGAGAAGUAGCUACCACAACCAAAGAAGGUAGCAGACACGCAAAUUACUUACCUCUCUGUUCAGGGAGGUGAUAGUGACGAAAGAUAACGAUACGGAACUCUUUCGAGACCACGUGAUCAGAAUGAUCGUAAGGUAAAAAGUGUUCUAAAGAGCGAAUGGAGGGCAAGUCUAGUGUCGGCUGCUGCUAUAAUUUCAGCUCCGAUAGCGUAAGCUAAAUUUGUUACGGAGGAAAAGCUCAUAGUCGGUUCUCAGCUCAAGACGGGGAAGGGGUGCCUCAACAUCCCUUCCGGUCUCGCAGGGUCUGGCCAUUUUCCAGGCUGCGAUGUUAACCGGUUGUGGCGGUCCGGUCAGUUUACCUUGAAGAAACUGAAGUGCUCAAAGCAGGCCUGUCGCCCGCACAAAGAUGCAUGGAAUAAUGCAAGAUGACCUCGAGUCUAUUGUGUUUC